Long non-coding RNA from Bufo bufo (common toad), 193 nucleotides. RefSeq lists it as uncharacterized. The record is from RefSeq and is a predicted model, not a curated record. NCBI's taxonomy places the organism in Eukaryota, Metazoa, Chordata, Amphibia, Anura, Bufonidae. The transcript is spliced from 4 exons.
GAGAUAAGGUAUGGGAUCUCAUUAACAGAGUGCUUCAAAAUGUAUUUCGUUCCAUUCCCAUACCGGAGACCAAACCGCAACAUGUUGUAGUUUACUUUCCGUCCUGGGAUGCGGAGCAAGACUGAUCAGUCAUGACCCCCAAUGCAAGUCAAUGGGGACGGAUGCGUUUUCUCUGCCACAAUAGAAAAUUGAU